RNAcentral lists this long non-coding RNA (4683 nucleotides) under Homo sapiens (human). RNAcentral's name for it is "non-protein coding lnc-KLF6-17:1". Lineage: Eukaryota; Metazoa; Chordata; Mammalia; Primates; Hominidae. The record is from RNAcentral.
ACAUUUUUCCUCUGUGUGUAUAUACUGGAGAACUUUGACCACGCUUGCUGAUUUCAAAGCAAGGCAAUAUCUUUUCAAUGACAUCAGCUUCCACUCCCUGUACCGGGAACUCACCGUUCUCUGAACUGAAAGUUGGGAGCUGGUGCCAAAGGUUGUCUCACCUGUGACUGCAUUUCCUGUAAGCCCAGUUCACCCUGGCGUGGGCCUGGCCGAUUCAGAUAAUGACACACACCUCUCCAGUUCUCACAAGCAACAGCCCCAAGACUAACUCUUCAGUCAUCUCCAGACUAUGACCCAGGCCAUGGAGAGCAGCCACACCUGGAGAGGAGCCUGCCCUUGCUCUCCUGGGCUGUGCUGUCACUGGCAGUGAGAGUAGAACUGUCUUCCCUUCAGAAUCACUGAAUGAUCAAUAAAAAACUCUCAGCAGGGCGCAGUGGCUCACGCCUGUAAUCCCAGCACUUUGGGAGGCCGAGGCGGGUGGAUCACAAGGUCAGGAGAUUGAGACCAUCCUGGCUAACACGGUGAAACCCCGUCGCUACUAAAAAUACAAAAAAUUAGCCGAGUGUGGUGGCAGAUUCCUGUAGUCCCAGCUACUCAGGAGGCUGAGGCAGGAGAAUGGCGUGAACCCGGCAGGCGGAGCUUGCAGUGAUCCCAGAUCGCGCCACUGCACUCCAGCCUGGGCGACAGAGGGAGACUCCGUCUCAAAAAAAAAAAAACAACACUCUGACCCUUGUGGGCAGGAAGUGAGCCUUAUAGGUUAACACGUGUGUGUGCCACAGCCAGAAGCCCCCGUGCCGACCCCUCUUCAUGACAUGGUUGGGGCUGCAGCUCCUAGGGACACAAACACAUGAGAUUCGGGGCCACAGGAGACCCCUACAGUGAAAUGACAAAAUGCCUCCCUGUGCAGCUCAGGCAGUGGACACCGUGUGAUAAGAAAUGGAAAUAAAACCACCGUGUUUUUUUCUGUCCUGUAGCAGGAGGGUAGGUGCCUGCAAGCUUGUGCAUUUCAGAAAGGGUGAAUGACAGUGGAUUCAAAUUAUCUCAAGGUGUUAAUCCCCCAUUUACAUUGUGCUUCUACUGUAUUGACAGACUCCUCUAGUAAGUAUAAGGAAAAAUUAUCUCCUGGGAUUCAAAGGACCAGCCUGCUCAGAAAACGGAGGAGAUAAAGAAUUACACACAGACACAGACAGAUACACAUACAAACACACACAGACCAUACACACAUACACACAUGUAGAUAUGCAGGCAGACACACAGAGAGACUCACAGACACACAUGCGUACACAUAGACACACAGACACACAUACAAACACACACAGACCAUACACACAUACACACAUGCAGAUAUGCAGGCAGACACACAGAGAGACGCCUACAGAGAGACUCACAGACACACAUGUGUAUACACAGACACACAGACAUAUACAAACGCACACAGAGCAUACACACACACACGCAGAUAUGCAGGCAGACACACAAAGAGACUCACAGACAUACAUGUAUACAUACAGACACACAUAUACACAUACAUGCACACAGAGACACACAGAGACACACACGGACAUACACAUAUAUACACAUGUACAUACACAGAUAUACAUACACACGUAUACACAUGCAGAUAUAUAGGCAGACACAUGGAGAGACACACACAGACACACAUACAUACACAGACAUACACGCAUGUACACACAGACACUGGGAUAUAUAAGUACAUAUAGACACUGUAGAAUGAUCUUAACCAUUCCUCUCUUCCUCCAGUAACUCACAUUUCUAGGUGACUCUGAUUUUCUUUAGCUUUAAACGAAAAAGCAAAAUGCUUUCUAUAAUACCUCUUUGUUUGAAAGUAUAUUUUUAAAAAGAUUCUGAAUGGAAGAUAUUUUUUUCAAGUCCUCUCAUCUUUUACUUUUCCGCUGGUGAUAUCCUCACUGAGUCCAUUUGGACAAAGACCGUGGAGAAGCCAUUGGGCGUGACACCCGGCGUGGAGCCUGCCCUUUCAGAGCAGGUCAGAGCCAAAAUAGACAGCAAAGGAGAACUAAAUCCAGGUUGAACAAUGCUGGCCCAAAAAUAGCAACAGCGUUUAUGAGCACAGCAGCAGGAAAGGCUGCUAAUCAUUUGCCAGGAUCUUUUAUUUGGGUUUGUCACUAUUGAGCGACACUGGGGACUUGAGGCCCCUGUCGAGCACACAAGUCCAGAAUUCCAAAUAAGAGACUCUAAUAAUAAUAUCUGGUGCAGAACCGUCCUUCCAUAGAGAACUAAGGAGCCAGCGCCUCCCGUGCUCCCCAGGAGCUGGCAGGAGGGUUUCCUGAGCAUCUGCUCUGCAGGGGCAUCCCACCAGGCUCUGGCAUGAAUCCUCCAUUCACCCUCACAGCUCCUGUUCGUAGCUUUCAGUGCUCCAUGCUACCAAUGAGGAAACUGAGGCCCAGAGAGUAAGACGGCCCAAGGCCACGCAGCUGGAAAGCUCUUCCUGUCACACCACGGAUCUCGAGUGUUCUGUGCAGUAGGGAAACCUUAGACACUCUUCACUGCAGAGGGUGGUGCAGCCGAAAGUGUAGAUCGCAGGGUAACUCUCCCAGAGCACAGCCACCGAGUGCAGGAGGCAUGCAGAAGGGACGGAGAAGCAUCCCCUCAGGGAUGGGUGGACAGAAGUGGCUCUCCCAGGUGGCCUGAUCUCUGUGGAAGGCAACACUCUCAUCAGCAAAGGCAGCCAGCAGGACAGUCAGUCCACAUAAACAACCAGCCAGAAGGAGAGAAGUGACUUUACAGCUCUUGACCGCACUGCGGGCUGGGAUGCAGACGGAUACGGCUGGAGCUAUGGGAUGUUAUAGGGACGCAGAGCUAAGUAAGUCUGCAGGGGGCUUGAGGUUUGGCAAUUCACAGCCAAGAUUCCAAACCAAGGGAGGCUGCCUGGAGGGAUGAGGUCUUAAAAUGGGAAGUGAAAGCAGUGUGCAGGCAUCCAUCAAUCUAUGGCAGGAGGAUUAUUCUCCUGAAGCACAGAGCAGACUGGCAGAGAGAGGGCCUGGAAGGGAGGACCAGCUAGCUGGAGACAACUGCAGAACGCAAUUAUCGGUCUGAUUUGAACUGAAGCAGGAAAUGGCAACCCUAGUUGAUAUCUAGCCACAGACAUUUGAUGAAACAAAGCAAUUCAGGAGUAGACUCUGCAUUUCUCGUGAUCUUCAUGGCACCCAGAGACCCUAAUUAGUUCUAAUUGGUAGGGAAGGAUCAAGUCAUUCUGAACGGAUGGAAACCCCAACGUCAGCCUGGGUCCUCUUUGGCAUGCUCACAUUGGGACUGACCCAGGGCCACAGAGAAGCAGAUUGCAAGCUCAUUCCCUGAGGGUGGUGCUUCCUCCAAUACUUGCAACUCUCUCCUUGGGAACAUCAGCUUGAGCAGCAAACAGGGCAUUUGGAAAGUUGUCAGCAAUCACAUAGCAGCAUUAUCUUCAACAGGUUUAUGUAACUGAGUUUCAAGUAAAGCAGGCUGACCACAUGGGAGUGUUGGAACUACUCACAGGUCCACAGGACAGUGAUGCAUGAGGCCGGUGGUGAUGGCUUCACUGAUUCAGCUGCAGUCACACAUAGUUUAUAGAGAAGGCAACCCUGGGCUACGACAACAGGAAAACAGGGCCGUGCCCAUCUUAUUCAUUCUUUAUAACCAACGGCAAAUAUUUACUUAGCAAUCAUACAACGCCCAUCACCAGAUUAGACACUUAUGUGGAACUUAGAAUUGUACUGAAUGCAAAUAAGAUGUUAAUUAUUACAACUGAAUGAUGCCUUUAUAGUUAGACUCUAGAUGCAUUUUUAAGACACACUUGAGGGAGAAACAUGGCCAUAAUGUCAUUCACUAUGAGGAUUUUGAAAGAGAAAUUGUUAGGACCCAUAUGCUUCCAUAUAAGCAACAGGAUUUUAAAAUUCGGGCAAAACCAUGACUCGGUUUUGCUCUAAGAUUCCUUUUCAUGGCAGGAAAUUCCCCUUCCUUCUGAUAGGAUGUUGUUUCCUUCUGGCUCUAAAAGGAAUGUGACACCCAAUUAUUUGCCCAGUGGCUUCUUUCAGGACUUGGAAGGUCCCUGAAAUGCCUCUCAUUCUACUGAGAAUCUGACCCAAACCACAUGAACCUCAGAGACAGCCUGGGAUGGUGUUUCAGAGGUGGUCAGACCGGAGGCCCCAGCCCCCUUCCUCCCAAACCCUCCCUCCAGGUGUGUCUGCAGAGAGCCAGCUGAUGUCUUCCGGCCGAUGUCACCAGGUGCAGGGUCUCGAGUCUGCAGCUGCUGAGCUGGAGUUAUUUGUAAAAAAUGGUAGCAGCAAGACAAUAGAUAGACAUCUUGUCCUGAAGGCAGCAGGGCAAUGACUCACGCGGAUGAAUCAUUUUAAAUUAGUCCAGAGGGUCUCGGGGGAACCAAGUUCUAAAUUCAGGAAACAUCAGGCUCUGACCAAGCAAAGACUGCCAACUCAAUUUCAUGAUUCUAGAAAAAGAAUUAAGAGAGUUUUUCGCUAGAAGAAAGCAUAGAGAACAUGUUAUUCAAUGGCAUAAUUCUGUAGAUGUGAAAACAGAAGUCCAAGAUCCAAAAGUCACUUAGCAAAGCCAGACAAAACUGCAGGUCUUCUGAUUCUCAGCUUGGGAAUUCUCUCUGCCAUGCCAUUGGGGCGCACUGCUCACUGUUUGGAAAACUACCGCACAAGCGUG